GAAGGUGUAUCUAGAAAGACAAAUUAGAGCUUGAAAAGUAAAGCAUUUCAUUUACAUUGAAAAGUAUAUUGUGUGAUUCAAUUUAAUUUGAUAAUAAAAAUUUAUUAAUUUUUUUUUGUUUAAAAGUUUAUUUAAUAAAAUUAAUUUUAAAUUAAGUUUUUUUUGUAUAGUAUAUAGAUUAAAUAAUUUAUAUAAUAGUUAAUUAGUAUUGUGAAAGAAUAUUGAAAUAUGUGAAAAAGUUUUAAGUUAAAAGUAAAUUUUAUAUAUUGUACCUUGUGUAUCAGGGUUUAUUAAUUAAAAGUUAAAAAAUUUAAUUUUUCUCGAAUUUAAGAGAGUUAAUUUAUUGUUUGAUUUUUUGUCUCAUAAAAAUUUAAAAUAAUAAAUUAGAAAUGAAAUGUUAUUCGUUCUUGAAUAUAUCUAGUUUUUUAAGAAAUAAAUUAAAUUUAGAUUAUUAAUAGAUAAUUAUUUAUUUAAAUAAUGAAUUAUUAUUAAUAAUUAAUAUUUUAAGGGAUAAGCUUUAAAGUAAGUUUUAUAAUAAUUUUUUAAUUUAAAAAUUAUAGGUUUAGAAAUAGUCAUUAAUUAUAAAAAUGUUAUAAUUUAUUUUAAAUUAAAAAUAAUUUUUAUUAAUUUAAGUUUUUAUUAAAAUAAUUUUUAAAAUUAUAUAAAAAUUAAAAUAAUGAUAAAAUUAGUAUAUUUAAUUGUUUAAAAUAGAUGAAUUGAAAGGUUAAAUUAAGGAACUUGGCAAAUAAAUACUCGCCUGUUUAACAAAAACAUGUCUUUUUGAAAAUAAUUUAAAGUCUAAUCUGCCCACUGAAGAAUUUUAAAGGGCCGCGGUAUU
Molecule: ribosomal RNA, 838 nt
Filed under: Panorpodes paradoxus
Lineage: Eukaryota; Metazoa; Arthropoda; Insecta; Mecoptera; Panorpodidae
Description: partial 16S rRNA
Source: RNAcentral